This 22-nucleotide non-coding RNA is filed under the name Rattus norvegicus (Norway rat). The record is from RNAcentral. Lineage: Eukaryota; Metazoa; Chordata; Mammalia; Rodentia; Muridae.
UGUGUGCCGACCUCAGACGUUC